Molecule: long non-coding RNA, 348 nt
Filed under: Salmo salar (Atlantic salmon)
Lineage: Eukaryota; Metazoa; Chordata; Actinopteri; Salmoniformes; Salmonidae
Description: lncRNA (ENSSSAG00000116702.1)
Source: RNAcentral
GUUAUAUAGUAGUUGGUCCAGGUCAGGUCAGUGUGUUAUAUAGUAGUUGGUCCAGAUCAGUGUGUUAUAUAGUAGUUGGUCCAGGUCAGUGUGUUAUAUAGUAGUUGGUCCAGGUCAGAUCAGUGUGUUAUAUAGUAGUUGGUCCAGAUCAGUGUGUUAUAUAGUAGUUGGUCCAGGUCAGUGUGUUAUAUAGUAGUUGGUCCAGGUCAGAUCAGAGUGUUAUAUAGUAGUUGGUCCAGGUCAGAUCAGUGUGUUAUAUAGUAGUUGGUCCAGGUCAGGUCAGUGUGUUAUAUAGUAGUUGGUCCAGGUCAGUGUGUUAUAUAGUAGUUGGUCCAGGACAGAUCAGUG